UCAAAAACGACAAGUGAGCUCCUUUAAAGCCAGUCUAAAAACCGGCAUCUGUUACCUAAAAUCGCUUUUAUUUAGUUGAUUUUACUUUAAAAAUGGUCGUAGGAUGCAGCGCGGUCGGCUUUAGAAACGGAGAAGGACAGAAACCAAACUUUUAUUUUAUGACUUUUAAUGAGGAAAGAUACAGCGGUGAUGGAUAUCAGCCGUUAAUCAUGACUGUAAUAAGCCCUCGGUGAAAUCGCGGAUUUACAGCGAACACUUUUUAAAGUCUUGUUGGGCUAUGAGACGAGCCUUCGAUGUAAAACCAUUUCCCAUCAGAUGAGUCACAACCACGGAGGACAUUUCAAGAUUUGCCUGAUUAUUCCUCUGAAAGGUGCUUGGAGCUCAUUGCCAGGUUACAGACAGGUAGCGCUGCUGAAAAUCUGUCUAAGUGGAGGUGUUUCUGAGUAACGACGACUUGUUAGCUGCUGGCUGAAGAGUGAAAACACCGCGCUGUAGUGUCACCUCUGCCUGACUCUCCUCUCGGUUAAAAUGACAGAUGCAGACAGGCUCUGUAAGCCAGAUGGAGCUGCAUGAAUUCACACAUCAUUUCCAGUGAAAGCUCACUGACUUUAAAUAGUGUCUUAACAAAAGUCUUUGAGGGGCUUGGGGUGCUGGUUCACCAGAAACUACAUGAAAACACCAAAAUAUCACACAAAAGUUUCCCCCUCGAGACAAAGACUUGGGCGACGUUAACGUCUGGAAAAUGGGAUUAUGACUCAUGCUUCACAGUGGAAAAUUAAAACGGCAGCUCUUAUUCAGACGUAAUGUCUCUGUACGGGUGUCACAGGCUCCCCACAAGGUGUUUAGAGAGCAACUAAUGCCGACAUGCAACCCCGUUUUUACGGAUUGAUCUUCCAGUGGUGGAGUCACGGAGGGGGCCGGGUGCACGGCGCGUCUCUUGCGGGCGCCGCAUGAUGUCCCCUGACAGAUUGAGGCUGCAAGCUCGUCUUUACCGCCUGUCUGUAUGUUCAUGUUUGAGGGUUUUAGGAGAAUCAAAAUAAUGGGGAAACGAAGUGCACUGCUGGGGAGAAGCACGCUUCAGCUUCAUUUGUUUGUUCAAGCAAAGAAAUUAAAAAAAAAAAAUGACAAGAAAACAAGUUCUAUAAACCAAAUAAGCAGUUAGUGAGAUUUUAUUUAUUUUUACUGCAAAAACGCAAAAUCUGACCAAGUAUUUUUGGUCUAG
Molecule: long non-coding RNA, 1222 nt
Organism: Poecilia reticulata (guppy)
Lineage: Eukaryota; Metazoa; Chordata; Actinopteri; Cyprinodontiformes; Poeciliidae
Source: RefSeq, a predicted model, not a curated record